AAUUCUGUAUUCAAUGAUGAUUUUUGAUUGCAAAUCUAAAGGUACUAUUUAGUCAGGAUUU
RNAcentral lists this transfer RNA (61 nucleotides) under Hemisphaerius rufovarius. RNAcentral's name for it is "tRNA-Cys". Lineage: Eukaryota; Metazoa; Arthropoda; Insecta; Hemiptera; Issidae. The record is from RNAcentral.